Molecule: transfer RNA, 64 nt
Filed under: Elaphrothrips spiniceps
Lineage: Eukaryota; Metazoa; Arthropoda; Insecta; Thysanoptera; Phlaeothripidae
Description: tRNA-Trp
Source: RNAcentral
AAAAUAUUAAGUUAUAAAAAACUAUUAACUUUCAAAGUUAAAAAAAAUAAAUAAUUAUAUUUUU